UACAGAGGCCCCAAGCAUUACCCGGAAUUAUUGGGCGUAAAGGGUGCGUAGGUGGUCAUAUUAGUCGUCCGUUAAAUCCCUCGGCCCAACCGAGGACUCGCGGGCGAAACGGUAUGACUAGAGAGCGUGAGAGGUGCAUAGAACUCUAGGUGUAGGGGUGAAAUCCGUUGAUAUCUAGGGGAAUACCGAAAGCGAAGGCAGUGCACUGGCGCGUUUCUGACACUGAAGCACGAAAGCGUGGGUAGCGAAU
This 250-nucleotide ribosomal RNA is filed under the name uncultured bacterium. RNAcentral's name for it is "partial 16S ribosomal RNA". It matches the Rfam family "Bacterial small subunit ribosomal RNA", at positions 524 to 773 of the family's 1533-position model. The record is from RNAcentral.